GACGAACGCUGGCGGCGUGCUUAACACAUGCAAGUCGAACGGAAAGGCCCUGCUUUUGUGGGGUGCUCGAGUGGCGAACGGGUGAGUAACACGUGAGUAACCUGCCCUUGACUUUGGGAUAACUUCAGGAAACUGGGGCUAAUACCGGAUAGGAGCUCCUGCUGCAUGGUGGGGGUUGGAAAGUUUCGGCGGUUGGGGAUGGACUCGCGGCUUAUCAGCUUGUUGGUGGGGUAGUGGCUUACCAAGGCUUUGACGGGUAGCCGGCCUGAGAGGGUGAUCGGCCACAUUGGGACUGAGAUACGGCCCAGACUCCUACGGGAGGCAGCAGUGGGGGAUAUUGCACAAUGGGCGGAAGCCUGAUGCAGCAACGCCGCGUGCGGGAUGACGGCCUUCGGGUUGUAAACCGCUUUCGCCUGUGACGAAGCGUGAGUGACGGUAAUGGGUAAAGAAGCACCGGCUAACUACGUG
This 468-nucleotide ribosomal RNA is filed under the name uncultured bacterium. Its description in RNAcentral is "partial 16S ribosomal RNA". It matches the Rfam family "Bacterial small subunit ribosomal RNA", at positions 28 to 507 of the family's 1533-position model. The record is from RNAcentral.